This 331-nucleotide ribosomal RNA is filed under the name Proteus vulgaris. RNAcentral describes it as "partial 23S ribosomal RNA". It matches the Rfam family "Bacterial large subunit ribosomal RNA", at positions 508 to 668 of the family's 2925-position model. Lineage: Bacteria; Pseudomonadati; Pseudomonadota; Gammaproteobacteria; Enterobacterales; Morganellaceae. The record is from RNAcentral.
GGAAAGGCGAAAAGAACCCCGGCGAGGGGAGUGAAAAAGAACCUGAAACCGUGUACGUACAAGCAGUAGGAGCCCCAUCACUCAAGUGCCUCGCACUGAGUGAUUGUAAAAACCAUUCGAAAACAGCGCCGCGUUUACCUACAAAGUGGAUUGAUUUUUUCAAGCCGUCGCGCAGUGUACAUAGAAGUACACGAGCAACGGAAGUUAAAAAAUCGAGCCAGUUUGACAGUAAAAGCAAGCGGGACAUUUGAGGAUGGGGUGACUGCGUACCUUUUGUAUAAUGGGUCAGCGACUUAUAUUCUGUAGCAAGGUUAACCGAAUAGGGGAGCCG